CCUACGGGAGGCUGCAGUCGAGAAUCUUUCACAAUGGGCGCAACCCUGACGCAGCGACGCCGCGUGGAGGAAUAAGGCUCUCCGGUUUUUAACUUCUUUUCACGUGGGAGAAUAGAAGACAGUUACUAUCGCAUAAGCCACAGCUAACUACGUGCCAGCCGCCACGGUAGUACGUAGGUAGCAAGCGUUGUCCGGACUUACUGGGUGUGAAUGACGUGUAGCCAGGUUGACAAGUCAGAUGUGAAAGCCUGCGGCGCAACCGCCGAACUGCAUUUGAAACUGCUGAUCUGGAGUACUGGAGAGGCAGACGGAAUUCCCAGUGUAGCAGUGAAAUGCGUAGAUAUUAGGAGGAACACCAGUGGCGAAGGCGGUCUGCUGGACAUUAACUGACGGUGAGGCGCGAAGGCGAGGGGAGCAAAAAGGAUUAGAUACCCGAGUAGUC
RNAcentral lists this ribosomal RNA (442 nucleotides) under uncultured bacterium. RNAcentral describes it as "partial 16S ribosomal RNA". It matches the Rfam family "Bacterial small subunit ribosomal RNA", at positions 338 to 795 of the family's 1533-position model. The record is from RNAcentral.